This 2125-nucleotide long non-coding RNA is filed under the name Theobroma cacao (cacao). Its description in RNAcentral is "long non-coding RNA (TCAC_LNC002902)". The record is from RNAcentral. Lineage: Eukaryota; Viridiplantae; Streptophyta; Magnoliopsida; Malvales; Malvaceae.
CAUCUCAUUUCUCUUGGCUGGCCAAGGCAAGAACAAAAGGGAAAAAGCAUAGAACAAAUCCUAGAGAAGAAAAUCAAGAGAAAAUUCAUUGGAUUUCAAGGAAUUAAGCAAGUAAAGGUAAAAUUUCUUAAUUUUAGAUUGUGAUCUACCUUUCCUGUCACGACCCGGUACUCUCCUCGAGCCCGUGACAAUCGUCGCGGUGUCUCGAUCGACAUUCAUUACCCGAAAUAUCAACCGAAACCCCGUAAGGCUUUAAUAUUAGUUUUCGCACCUCCCCUAUGAGCAACAGUUGUCAAAUAUAAUGUUUUGAGAUAUUAUAAACUAUUUUCAAAUCAAAACAAUAGAAGAAUAAUUUUUCUCUCACAGGGGCAUUUUGGUCAUUUUUCUUCGAAAAUCUCGAUUCUAGCUAAUAAUGUAGUAUACAAGUGCAAAACACAUAUUUCAAAAAAAUCAAAAAUAAAUUUAGAUGUCUAAACAUUCGUUUAAAGUGAAAUUAUGACUGUUAGAAUAAAAUAAAAUUAUUAAACAAAAUAUUCUAUUUUCUUAUAAAAUAAUAUUUUUAGAACACUCCGAAAAUAAUUUUUACAGCAUAAAAGUAAAAUAAAUUCCUACAUACAGUAGUACAGAUAACUAGAGUACAAAAUUUAAUUUACAGUGACAUGUGGACCCCCAAAUGACAAAAAUGAACAAAGGCUGCAAACUUACAGUUUUUGAGGAAGUAAAGCCAACUGUAGCCUUCGACGAUGUCAGCUAUCUACAGCCUAUAUUGAGCCUGAAAUGGGUGGAAAGGAGGGUGGUGAGAUUUUAUAAUCCUAGUGAGUAAACAAACACCACUCAAAAUAUCUAAAGUUGAGUAAAAGGAGACGAUUAAAAUAUUCUAUCUCAAUAUGUAUUUCAUAACAUAAAUAUUCAUUUCAUUUAAAUAAUCAACAUGGCUUAGGAGUAUCUUAAAAGCUUGGCUCCUACCAAAAUCAUUCUCGAGAAUACCUUGGCCGAGCCAUUUAACCGAGUUUGCCAAGGCUGUUAAAAAAUUUUGUAUACACACAAAUCAUAUUUUUAUUUUGAAAACACAGUCGUUCCUUGACGUUAGCAGAGCUCAUCAUCACGAGGUGGUUCGGCUUGACGUGAACUCUAACCAUACCUCAGGAGAUACCCUACGCGCCUCUCCAACCGAGGUAUAUAUAUAACCAGAUUCUGUGCCCCUCUAAUAGGCUGGUCCAUAGAAUCGGCCCACUUUAGAUCAUUUUCUAUAAAAUUCACAAAAUCGAAUAAAAAGACCACUUUAGAUAAUUAAAAUGAUGAUAAGGUUACUCAAUAUGUCUAGAGUGCGAAUUUUCGAAGUACUUUGACUACUGGUCCUCGGAUCCAAUUUCCUUGCCUUUAUUGGAAGACUCACCACCUUGACAUAAUACAAAAUCGAGAAACUUACUACAUUGGUACUAAAUCGAAAUUAAACUAAUUUAGACUACUAAUGCAUGAUAUGGAAUGCAAAAUGCACGGGUAACCAUCUAAACUCGAUAUUGACCUAAUUCAUCUUAUCACCCGAUUAAUUGACCAACGCGUCCAAUUUAGCUCCAAAUUGCUCCAUUUCUUUUCCAAUACCUUAAUUCACCAAACACAAGUCAAAUAACCUAAAAUUUGACAAAACCAUCUUUACAUUUCCUCUUAGAAUUUUUAAUCAAUAAUGGUGCAUUAACACCGUGAUUUUUUCUACUACUUUUCCACACCAUAAUUCAUCAUUUUCUAACCAAUUCUCUUAAAAUAAAAAUCAAAUUCAUCCUCACUCAAUACAAGGUAGAUUCGGCCAUUGAUGGAUGAUGGGGAAAAUGAAUUCUUUUCUUGUUGUUUUGCUUCUAAACAUGGUAAACUAACUAAAAACAUUAACAUAACUUGAAAUCAAAUCAAUCCAACAUCAUUCUCUCUCCAUACCCAUUCGGUCAGCCAUGAAUUCACCAUGAAAACAUGUAAUUUAACCAUGGAAAAUAAGGAGAAAUGCUUGGGAAAGGUAGAUCACAAGCCAAAAUCAAGAAAUUUUACCUUUGAUUGCUUGAUUACUUGAAAUCCACUAAUUUUCUCUUGAAUUUUCCACCUAGGUUUUUGUUCUUCUUCUUUUCUUCUCUUUUCC